This 202-nucleotide ribosomal RNA is filed under the name uncultured bacterium. Its description in RNAcentral is "partial 16S ribosomal RNA". It matches the Rfam family "Bacterial small subunit ribosomal RNA", at positions 524 to 722 of the family's 1533-position model. The record is from RNAcentral.
UACGUAGGGUCCGAGCGUUGUCCGGAAUUACUGGGCGUAAAGAGCUCGUAGGUGGUUUGUCACGUUGUUCGUGAAAACCCACAACUCAAUUGUGGGCGUGCGGGCGAUACGGGCAGACUAGAGUACUGCAGGGGAGACUGGAAUUCCUGGUGUAGCGGUGGAAUGCGCAGAUAUCAGGGAGGGAACACCGGUGGGCGAAGGC